AACGAACGCUGGCGGCAUGCCUAACACAUGCAAGUCGAACGAGAUCUUCGGGUCUAGUGGCGCACGGGUGCGUAACGCGUGGGAAUCUGCCCUUUGGUUCGGAAUAACAGUUGGAAACGACUGCUAAUACCGGAUGAUGACGAAAGUCCAAAGAUUUAUCGCCAGAGGAUGAGCCCGCGUAGGAUUAGCUAGUUGGUGUGGUAAAGGCGCACCAAGGCGACGAUCCUUAGCUGGUCUGAGAGGAUGAUCAGCCACACUGGGACUGAGACACGGCCCAGACUCCUACGGGAGGCUGCAGUGGGGAAUAUUGGACAAUGGGCGAAAGCCUGAUCCAGCGAUGCCGCGUGAGUGAUGAAGGCCUUAGGGUUGUAAAGCUCUUUUACCCGGGAUGAUAAUGACAGUACCGGGAGAAUAAGCUCCGGCUAACUCCGUGCCAGCCGCCGCGGUAA
RNAcentral lists this ribosomal RNA (449 nucleotides) under uncultured bacterium. Its description in RNAcentral is "partial 16S ribosomal RNA". It matches the Rfam family "Bacterial small subunit ribosomal RNA", at positions 29 to 523 of the family's 1533-position model. The record is from RNAcentral.